Molecule: long non-coding RNA, 265 nt
Filed under: Elaeis guineensis (African oil palm)
Lineage: Eukaryota; Viridiplantae; Streptophyta; Magnoliopsida; Arecales; Arecaceae
Description: long non-coding RNA (EGUI_LNC072243)
Source: RNAcentral
CCUGCAACGGAUUCCAUGCAGCUCGACCAUUCUCUGACAAGUCACGACAAGAGCCAUCCUCCUGCUCCACUCCCUGCAAUGGAUUCCAUGCAGCUCCACCACUCUAUGGCAAGUCCCGACUACGGACACCACUCCACUCUCCGCAACAAGCUCCACGUGGCCCUGAACGACCCCUGACGUCACUACUCUCCGUAACAAACUCCAUGCGGCUCUGAGCGAUCCACUUCCAGACGGUUACAGACGUCACUGUCAGUUAGUUACCCCC